This 429-nucleotide ribosomal RNA is filed under the name Acidobacteriota bacterium. Its description in RNAcentral is "Acidobacteria bacterium partial 16S ribosomal RNA". It matches the Rfam family "Bacterial small subunit ribosomal RNA", at positions 355 to 776 of the family's 1533-position model. The record is from RNAcentral. Lineage: Bacteria; Pseudomonadati; Acidobacteriota.
UGGGGAAUUUUGGACAAUGGGGGAAACCCUGAUCCAGCCAUCCCGCGUGUGCGAUGAAGGCCUUCGGGUUGUAAAGCACUUUUGGCAGGAAAGAAACGUCAUGGGUUAAUACCCCGUGAAACUGACGGUACCUGCAGAAUAAGCACCGGCUAACUACGUGCCAGCAGCCGCGGUAAUACGUAGGGUGCAAGCGUUAAUCGGAAUUACUGGGCGUAAAGCGUGCGCAGGCGGUUCGGAAAGAAAGAUGUGAAAUCCCAGAGCUCAACUGUGGAACUGCAUUUAUAACUACCGGGCUAGAGUGUGUCAGGGGGAGGUGGAAUUCCGCGUGUAGCAGUGAAAUGCGUAGAUAUGCGGAGGAACACCGAUGGAGAAGGCAGCCUCCUGGGAUAACACUGACGCUCAUGCACGAAAGCGUGGGGAGCAAACAGG